GAUGAACGCUGGCGGUCUGCUUAACACAUGCAAGUCGAACGAACUCUUCGGAGUGAGUGGCGGACGGGUGAGUAACGCGUGAGAAUCUGCCUGUGGGUCGGGGACAACCACUGGAAACGGUGGCUAAUACCGGAUGAGCCGAAAGGUAAAAAAUUUAUUGCCCACAGAUGAGCUCGCGUCUGAUUAGCUAGUUGGUAAGGUAAAAGCGUACCAAGGCGACGAUCAGUAGCUGGUCUGAGAGGAUGAGCAGCCACACUGGGACUGAGACACGGCCCAGACUCCUACGGGAGGCAGCAGUGGGGAAUUUUCCGCAAUGGGCGAAAGCCUGACGGAGCAAGACCGCGUGGGGGAGGAAGGUUUUUGGAUCGUAAACCCCUUUUGUCAAGGAAGAAGUUCUGACGGUACUUGACGAAUAAGCCUCGGCUAACUCCGUGCCAGCAGCCGCGGGUAAUACGGAGGAGGCAAGCGUUAUCCGGAAUGAUUGGNCGUAAAGCGUCUGUAGGUGGCCAGCUAAGUCUGCUGUUAAAGAUCACAGCUCAACUGUGGAAGGCAGUG
RNAcentral lists this ribosomal RNA (555 nucleotides) under uncultured bacterium. RNAcentral describes it as "bacterial SSU rRNA". It matches the Rfam family "Bacterial small subunit ribosomal RNA", at positions 28 to 628 of the family's 1533-position model. The record is from RNAcentral.